Long non-coding RNA from Centruroides sculpturatus (bark scorpion), 238 nucleotides. RefSeq lists it as uncharacterized. The transcript has 3 exons. The record is from RefSeq and is a predicted model, not a curated record. Lineage: Eukaryota; Metazoa; Arthropoda; Arachnida; Scorpiones; Buthidae.
UUGAAACAUUAAAGAGUAUUUUUAUAAGAGCUAUUUAAGACAAUUCAUCUUAAAGCUAAUCGUAACCUUUCUGGUUAUUCCAGCAAUUGACGUUUCGAACAAACAAAUCUUACGUUUUCAAUACAGAAUGUAAAUAGUUUGAAAAUAAGCAUUGAAUUCAAUGCUGUUCCAAAAGAAUUCAAUACGAUGUAACUCAAGUAGCACAAGAGAAAUUGAAGAUGUUAAAUAAGCUUAUACA